GGGUUCUGGGGGGAGUAUGGUCGCAAGGCUGAAACUUAAAGGAAUUGACGGAAGGGCACCACCAGGCGUGGAGCCUGCGGCUUAAUUUGACUCAACACGGGGAAACUCACCAGGUCCAGAUGAAAUAAGGAUUGACAGAUUGAGAGCUCUUUCUUGAUUUUUCAGGUGGUGGUGCAUGGCCGUUCUUAGUUCGUGGGGUGACUUGUCUGCUUAAUUGCGAUAACGAGCGAGACCUUACUCUGCUAAAUAGCCAGGCUAGCUUUGGCUGGUCGCCGGCUUCUUAGAGAGACUAUCAACUCAAGUUGAUGGAAGUUUGAGGCAAUAACAGGUCUGUGAUGCCCUUAGAUGUUCUGG
This 354-nucleotide ribosomal RNA is filed under the name Thalassiosira rotula. RNAcentral's name for it is "partial Eukaryotic small subunit ribosomal RNA". It matches the Rfam family "Eukaryotic small subunit ribosomal RNA", at positions 1109 to 1485 of the family's 1831-position model. Lineage: Eukaryota; Bacillariophyta; Thalassiosirophyceae; Thalassiosirales; Thalassiosiraceae. The record is from RNAcentral.